Suncus etruscus (white-toothed pygmy shrew) is the source of this 132-nucleotide small nucleolar RNA. RefSeq annotates it as small nucleolar RNA SNORA51. The transcript has a single exon. The record is from RefSeq and is a predicted model, not a curated record. NCBI's taxonomy places the organism in Eukaryota, Metazoa, Chordata, Mammalia, Eulipotyphla, Soricidae.
GGCCUCCUAAUUCUUACCACAGACUGCGUUCAUAACACUGACUGUAUAGAAAGCGGAGGUACAGGAAAUACACUCCAUAUACACCUCAACCCAGGCUCUUUGCCUGGUCGUAUUGUGACUUGGGGUACAAAA